ACUGGUAAUAGUGAAACCUCAGUAGUACUUGCCUAAAAAAGUUUUACAUUUUUUUUUGUGAAAUAAAUUAAUUUUAUUUAUAAGGAAAAUGGACUGCAAAAUUAAUCAUCCAGUGUAGUAUGUGGUUGUUGUUAUUAAUAUAAUUUUUUUUGGGUUUUUUUUGAGGGGGAAUGGUAUUUUUCUAUUAUGUAGCUUGUUUUUUUUUAAUUUACUGGUUGAUAUGUAUAGUCUGGGUUUCCCGUUGUAUUUACAUAUGGAAUACAAUGUCUUGGAGUAGAAUUGAAUCAGAGUGCAAGAAAAGGACUAUUUCGAAGGCUGCUCUACACGCAUUUCAGCGACUUGAUUCACAUGAAUACCAUCGUCUAACCAAAAUAUGUCUUUCUAUUUUUAGUAUACUUUUUGUAUUUCCUUUACGUGGAUUAAUUUUAAUCAUAUUAUGUGCACUUUCCGCAAUUUUUUCGUUAUUUCUUCCUCAAAUUCAUGAUGGAAACGUCAGCCGUCGUUGUUUUUUGUUGAGACUAUGCGUUUGUAACAAAAUUGUAUCAUGUUUCAUGAGCGUUUUAUUGACGGUAAUGGGUUUAAUCAUAGUGGACAAUUUUCCUGAAGCCUCUAGAAAAAAAAUACCUCAAGAUGAAAUUAUCGUUUCAAAUCACGUAUCCAUUCUAGAUAUUAUUUAUUUUAUGUCACGCUUAGGACUUCCUAGUUUUGUUUCUAAAUCAUCUGUGGCGAAAUUACCGUUAAUAUCACGAUUUUCUAACGCAAUGAAUUGCAUAUAUGUGAAUCGGGAUUCUGUUGAAAAUCGAUCCCAAGCUUUAGAGAGCAUCCAUAAUCGACAACGAAAUAUUUCCAACGGUGAAUCUCUUAAUACUCUCAUACUGUUUGCAGAGGGUACGACCUCAAAUGGUCACACAAUACUACCUUUUAAAAACGGCGCUUUUUCAACUCUUCAAAAAGUGACGGUUUUUUAUUUUAUCCUUGUACAUAUUUUCAUCCAGCCUUCGAUAUUCUUGAUCCUAUGGUUUACAUAACAUUACUUGUUGCCUCUGUAAUUUCUCACCAAAUUGUUUUCAUCUUAUUAGCUAUUCCAUAUGCUCUAUUUUAGCCUGUACCUUGCCGUCUUUACACCACAUGGAUUUUUAAUGUUAGCCCAGAAAUUUUACCCCCAAAAAAUUCAGACGCUCAAUGCGUAAAGCAUUUUAAAAAUAAAGUGUACAAUGAAGCUUUAUGUGUACUGCAAAAACAGCAAACUAAAUAUUAUGGUUUUAAUACAACAUCUUCAGAAUUUUUGCAAGAUCUUUUAUUUAUGUCUCAAGACAAAUGGGGUGAUUCGUUAAAAGUUAAAAAACAACUUUAUGAUUGUAUUCACAACAAAGGAUCAUAAUGGCAUUUUUAAAAAUUUACUUAACAAAUAAAACAAAAGUCAUAUACCAGAAUUUUAGUUAAAUUAAUACUACUUUUCUUAAGUUUGUGUAUUGCUAUAAUUUCUUUUACUCCCGAUAGGUCGUUUCAUCAUAUUUUAAAGUUUUUCUACAAAAAGAGACCGUUAAUCAUUUUUUAAAAUACAUUCUUAAAUACUAAAAUAGUAUUUUAGUUAUUUUCAAAUAUUUUAACAAAAAAGCUUUGGUUUUUUUUUUUUUGUUUAUGAAUAAGAAUUUAAAAAGCUUAAAACAAUUGCUUAGCCAAAAAAAUACCAAUUUAAAAAAAAAAAUAUUUUUAAUGGUAAACAUUUUCAUUACGAAAAUUCUUCGCGUUUUGCUGAAUGUAUUAGCUUAACAAAAAGUAAAGUUAUUAGGUUUU
Molecule: RNA transcript, 1797 nt
Organism: Hylaeus volcanicus
Lineage: Eukaryota; Metazoa; Arthropoda; Insecta; Hymenoptera; Colletidae
Gene name: lysophospholipid acyltransferase LPCAT4-like
Exons: 8
Source: RefSeq, a predicted model, not a curated record